Molecule: ribosomal RNA, 293 nt
Filed under: uncultured bacterium
Lineage: Bacteria
Description: partial 16S ribosomal RNA
Rfam family: Bacterial small subunit ribosomal RNA
Source: RNAcentral
GUGCCAGCCGCCGCGGUAAUACGUAGGGUGCGAGCGUUAAUCGGAAUUACUGGGCGUAAAGCGUGCGCAGGCGGUUAUUUAAGUCAGGUGUGAAAGCCCUGGGCUUAACCUAGGAAUGGCGCUUGAGACUGGAUAGCUUGGAGUGUGGCAGAGGGAGGUGGAAUUCCACGUGUAGCAGUGAAAUGCGUAGAGAUGUGGAGGAACACCGAUGGCGAAGGCAGCCUCCUGGGCCAGCACUGACGCUCAUGCACGAAAGCGUGGGGAGCAAACAGGAUUAGAAACCCCAGUAGUCC